AUGCCUGACUUUUGUGCAGCCUACGGAUGCGUCAAUCUACGAACUCUCCAAACGAGAACCCGUGGGAUGACCUUUCACCUGUUUCCCAAAAACAAAACGAGAAGGAUUAAGUGGGAAAUGGCCCUAAGAAGGGACAGUUUUACUGCUUCUGACAGAUCACUGCUCUGCAGUGACCACUUCAGGAUUGAGGACUUUGACAGGACGGGGCAGACUGUCCGGCUUAAAGAUGGUGUUGUGCCAACCCUUUUCAACUUUCCAGCUCGUCUUCAAAGGGUAUGUGUAUCAUUGACCAACAAUAAUUUAAGGUGUAUAAGAUUGAUGUAUCAAUAUAAAUAUGUGAUUAAAUGUCACACUUUAGUUUUAGUGUCUGUAAGUUAUGUAAUGUGUUGUUUAUUACAGCAUAUUUUAGACACUCAAAUCUUCUUUACUUGUGUUUAUUUUAGUCGGUAGCAACCAGAAGCGCAACCAAAUCUAAAAGAGCGGAAGAGAACCUGGCAAUGGACUUGAUGCCUGAUGUUGUGAGUAUUUUCAUGUGGAAUGUCACAAACUAAUUAGAGAAUCAUAUGGCUUGUUAUAUCAAAACCUUAAUCUUGAUGGUACCCAGGUCUAUGAUGAUGUUACUAGUCUUGGAGCCCAAUAUUAUUUAAGGGUGGUACUCUGUGUAAAUAGUUUGAAAAACACUGUCUAUCUCACUUUCUCACUCAUUCACUGGAAUGAAUAAACAUGUGUGAACAUUGAAACUACACCCAGGGGUAUGCAACCUUUUAUAUUUUUGUCCAGAGCCACAAAACGCCUUAUAAGUGGAGAAGCCUGUACAAUUUCUUAAAAGUGUACUGUUGUGUUUUCUGUUGGAGAAUUGGAGGACCUAAAAAUUAAUUCAGGCUCACAGAAUUCAAAAGUGAAGAUUGAAUUGUUGAAAAAGUAAGUUAUUAAUUUCCGUAUUACUAUUAUUUAUAUAUUUGUAUGUUUUGCCAAAACAACAGGAAGCUACUGGAGAGAGGAGAUUGAGCAGCAAGUGGCAGGACACUGACCACUUGUAUGCAUUGCCUGCUUGCCCUUCCCGUGAGGAUGGACACUGGGAUUUCAGCUGCCUUCAGUGUGCAGAAUGUAUAUAGUUCUCUGCAAACCUAUGGUGGUACCAUGCCUUCAGUGUGCAUAUUGUAUAAAGUUCUCUGCAAACCUAUGGUGGCAUCCUGCCUUCAAUGUGUCUUGAACAACCACAAAGGUUGCACAUAUUAUGUUCAUAUUUUAUCGUAUUUGCCUAAUGCAUAUUUGACUGUAGAUAGAUUUGAGUGAAGUAACCAACACAAUAGAUUGCUGAGUUUUAGUAACCCAUGUAUUGAUUUAACAUAAAUAACAUGAAUACCUUGUGCAUGUGUGUUUUUAUUGCACCUAUCUGUUCUGUUUAAUGUUAAUUUCAUAUGAAAACACAUGGUUUUAAUUACACAAAUACAUCUCUGUUCAGGGUGGGGAAUACAUCUUGCAGCUUUUGUUGACGUAUAUUUGUAAAGGGAAAUCUUGUACCUAUUUUAGAACAUUAUUCUAUUUUUCUUAGAACCAAAGUAUUCAUAAGUAUGUACUGUCAUGCCUACAUAUCUGACGUUUAUAAUAAACUAAACCGUUUGAAAAUCUGUUAAGAA
Long non-coding RNA from Gadus morhua (Atlantic cod), 1640 nucleotides. Ensembl lists it as uncharacterized. The record is from Ensembl. NCBI's taxonomy places the organism in Eukaryota, Metazoa, Chordata, Actinopteri, Gadiformes, Gadidae.